This 774-nucleotide ribosomal RNA is filed under the name uncultured Neocallimastigales. Its description in RNAcentral is "partial large subunit ribosomal RNA". It matches the Rfam family "Eukaryotic large subunit ribosomal RNA", at positions 23 to 647 of the family's 3401-position model. The record is from RNAcentral. Lineage: Eukaryota; Fungi; Neocallimastigomycota; Neocallimastigomycetes; Neocallimastigales.
ACACGCAUGACACACUGCAUAUCAAUAAGCGGAGGAAAAGAAACUAACAAGGAUUCCCUUAGUAACGGCGAGUGAAGCGGGAAGAGCUCAAAUUUGAAAUCUUCAAGGUUCUACCUUGACGAAUUGUAGUUUAUAGAAGUGUUUUCUGUUAGUGGAGUGGCAAAAGUUCUUUGGAAUAGGACAUCAUAGAGGGUGAGAAUCCCGUAUUUGGUCAUUCCUCCUAGCGUCGUGAUACACUUUCAACGAGUCGGAUUGUUUGGGAAUGCAGUCCAAAAUGGGUGGUAAAUUUCAUCUAAAGCUAAAUAUUGGCGAGAGACCGAUAGCGAACAAGUACCGUGAGGGAAAGAUGAAAAGAACUUUGAAAAGAGAGUUAAACAGUACGUGAAAUUGUCAAAAGGGAAGCGUUUGACACCAGUGUUGUUUUUCCGAAAAUCAAUUACGAAUGUUUUAUUUUUGAGGAGUUAUGACUUCAUCGGCUUGCUCCUUUCUUUAUGAAACUUUCUUAAUGCACUUUUCGGUUAACAAGUCAACAUCAAUUUCUUUUGUUGUAAAAGGGUAUGAGGAAGGUGGCUUUCUUUUCGGAGAAAGUGUUUAUAGCCUUGUACCUCUGCAAUCGGAGAGAUUGAGGUCUGCAGCGUAGAUCCUUCGGGGUUAGAUACAUUUGUGCUAAGUUAUAGCUUUUCAUAGACAACUUGUUGACUAUGUUAAGUCUUGUAGCUUACUCGCUUACGCUAUUUUACCUACGCUUAGGAUGUUGACGAGACUGUCGAUCUC